GUGGGGAAUCUUCCGCAAUGGACGAAAGUCUGACGGAGCGACGCCGCGUGAGUGAAGAAGGCCUUCGGGUCGUAAAGCUCUGUCAUCAGGGACGAACGGCCGGUGGAGUGGAAAGCCACCGGAUUGACGGUACCUGAGAAGGAAGCCACGGCUAACUACGUGCCAGCAGCCGCGGUAAUACGGAGGUGGCAAGCGUUGUCCGGAAUUAUUGGGCGUAAAGCGCGCGCAGGUGGGAUCUUAAGUCCAUGUGGAAAGUUCGGAGCUCAACUCCGUGAGGGGAUGGAAACUGGGAUUCUUGAGUACCGGAGAGGAAAGCGGAAUUCCCCGUGUAGCGGUGAAAUGCGUAGAUAUGGGGAGGAACACCAGUGGCGAAGGCGGCUUUCUGGACGAAAACUGACGCUGAGGCGCGAAAGCCAGGGGAGCGAACGGGAUUAGAAACCCGGGUAGUCC
This 450-nucleotide ribosomal RNA is filed under the name uncultured bacterium. Its description in RNAcentral is "partial 16S ribosomal RNA". It matches the Rfam family "Bacterial small subunit ribosomal RNA", at positions 354 to 796 of the family's 1533-position model. The record is from RNAcentral.